CAUGCAAGUCGAGGGGAAACGACAUCGAAAGCUUGCUUUUGAUGGGCGUCGACCGGCGCACGGGUGAGUAACGCGUAUCCAACCUGCCCAUCACUUGGGGAUAACCUUGCGAAAGUAAGACUAAUACCCAAUGACGUCUCUAGAAGACAUCUGAAAGAGAUUAAAGAUUUAUCGGUGAUGGAUGGGGAUGCGUCUGAUUAGCUUGUUGGCGGGGUAACGGCCCACCAAGGCGACGAUCAGUAGGGGUUCUGAGAGGAAGGUCCCCCACAUUGGAACUGAGACACGGUCCAAACUCCUACGGGAGGCAGCAGUGAGGAAUAUUGGUCAAUGGACGAGAGUCUGAACCAGCCAAGUAGCGUGCAGGAUGACGGCCCUAUGGGUUGUAAACUGCUUUUAUAAGGGAAUAAAGUUAGUCUCGUGAGACUUUUUGCAUGCACCUUAUGAAUAAGGACCGGCUAAUUCCGUGCCAGCAGCCGCGGUAAUACGGAAGGUCCGGGCGUUAUCCGGAUUUAUUGGGUUUAAAGGGAGCGUAGGCCGGAGAUUAAGCGUGUUGUGAAAUGUAGACGCUCAACGUCUGCACUGCAGCGCGAACUGGUUUCCUUGAGUACGCACAAAGUGGGCGGAAUUCGUGGUGUAGCGGUGAAAUGCUUAGAUAUCACGAAGAACUCCGAUUGCGAAGGCAGCUCACUGGAGCGCAACUGACGCUGAAGCUCGAAAGUGCGGGUAUCGAACAGGAUUAGAUACCCUGGUAGUCCGCACGGUAA
RNAcentral lists this ribosomal RNA (764 nucleotides) under uncultured bacterium. Its description in RNAcentral is "bacterial SSU rRNA". It matches the Rfam family "Bacterial small subunit ribosomal RNA", at positions 54 to 805 of the family's 1533-position model. The record is from RNAcentral.